AGUUCCCCUUUCUGUAUUUGAGUUCUACCGUCAGUCCUGGCAUUAUUUCUCUCUCUACAAGGAGCCUUAGGAGGUACGGGGAGCUCGCAAAUACUCCUUUUGGUUUAUUCUUACCACCUUGCUUCUGUGUUCCUUGGGAAUGCUGCUGUGCUUAUGCAUCUGGUCUCUUUUUGGAGCUGCAGUGGACAGGCAUUUGUGACAGCACUAUGGGACUGAGUAACACUCUCUUUGUGAUGGCCUUCCUGCUCUCUGGUAAGAACCUUUCAGCUUUGUUAAGUCCUGGAAUCCUACUGUCUCCUGAUGAGUCUGACCACAGCAAGCCCAGGCCUGAGACUUGGUGCUGCUCCCCUGAAGAUUCAAGCUUAUUUCAAUGAGACUGCAGACCUGCCAUGCCAAUUUGCAAACUCUCAAAACCGAAGCCUGAGUGAGCUAGUAGUAUUUUGGCAGGACCAGGAAAACUUGGUUCUGAACGAGGUAUACUUA
This 483-nucleotide small RNA is filed under the name Pongo abelii (Sumatran orangutan). Its description in RNAcentral is "processed transcript". The record is from RNAcentral. Lineage: Eukaryota; Metazoa; Chordata; Mammalia; Primates; Hominidae.